AUCGAUGAAGAACGCAGCGAAAUGCGAUAAGUAAUGUGAAUUGCAGAAUUCAGUGAAUCAUCGAAUCUUUGAACGCAAAUUGCGCUCCUUGGUAUUCCGAGGAGCAUGCCUGUUUGAGUGUCAUGAAAUCAUCCACCUCACCUUUGGGCUUUUGUCCGAGGGUCCGGCUGGGACUUGGGUGUUUGCGCGGCGAUGAGCCCCGCUCACCUUAAACAUAUUGUAGUGAUCUAGCCUGUUGGCCGGUUUGACUUGGCGUUAUAAAUUAUUUCGCUGAGGACACUCGCAAGGGUGGCCGUUUGACUGCUUGGUCUCGUCUCAAAGUGCUGCACUUAUAGAGGCUACAACUUCUUGACAUCUGGCCUCAAAUCAGGUAGGACUACCCGCUGAACUUAAGCAUAUCAAUAAGCGGAGGAAAAGAAACUAACAAGGAUUCCCCUAGUAACGGCGAGUGAAGCGGGAAGAGCUCAAAUUUGAAAUCUGGUGGACUUCGUUCAUCCGAGUUGUAAUCUAGAGAAGUGUUUUCCGUGCCGGCCAAUGUACAAGUCCCUUGGAACAGGGCGUCAUAGAGGGUGAGAAUCCCGUACUUGACAUUGACCACCGGUGCUCUGUGAUACACUUUCGACGAGUCGAGUUGUUUGGGAAUGCAGCUCAAAAUGGGUGGUAAAUUCCAUCUAAAGCUAAAUAUUGGCGAGAGACCGAUAGCGAACAAGUACCGUGAGGGAAAGAUGAAAAGCACUUUGGAAAGAGAGUUAAACAGUAUGUGAAAUUGUUAAAAGGGAAACGAUUGAAGUCAGUCGUGUCUUCUGGACUCAGCCGGUUCUGCCGGUGUACUUCCAGUCGACGGGGUCAACAUCAGUUUUGUUCGAUGGAUAAGGGCAGGAGGAAGGUAGCACUCUCGGGUGAACUUAUAGCCUCUUGUCGCAUACGUCGGAUGGGACUGAGGAACGCAGCACGCCUUUUGGCCGGGGUUCGCCCACGUACGUGCUUAGGAUGUUGACAUAAUGGCUUUAAACGACCCGUCUUGAAACACGG
RNAcentral lists this ribosomal RNA (1032 nucleotides) under uncultured Basidiomycota. Its description in RNAcentral is "eukaryotic LSU rRNA". The stretch from base 357 to 1032 matches the Rfam family "Eukaryotic large subunit ribosomal RNA", at positions 1 to 664 of the family's 3401-position model. The record is from RNAcentral. Lineage: Eukaryota; Fungi; Basidiomycota.